RNAcentral lists this ribosomal RNA (440 nucleotides) under uncultured bacterium. RNAcentral's name for it is "partial 16S ribosomal RNA". It matches the Rfam family "Bacterial small subunit ribosomal RNA", at positions 338 to 795 of the family's 1533-position model. The record is from RNAcentral.
CCUACGGGAGGCAGCAGUGGGGGAUAUUGCACAAUGGGGGAAACCCUGAUGCAGCGACGCCGCGUGGGUGAAGAAGUGCCUCGGCGCGUAAAGCUCUGUCAGCAGGGAAGAAAAUGACGGUACCUGACGAAGAAGCCCCGGCUAACUACGUGCCAGCAGCCGCGGUAAUACGUAGGGGGCAAGCGUUAUCCGGAUUUACUGGGUGUAAAGGGGGCGCAGACGGCGAGGCAAGCCAGGAGUGAAAGCCCGGGGCCCAACCCCGGGAGUGCUCUUGAAACUGCGUGGCUAGAGUGCAGGAGAGGCAAGCGGAAUUCCUGGUGUAGCUGUGAAAUGCGUAGAUAUCAGGAGGAACACCGGUGGCGAAGGCGGCCUACUGGACUGCAACUGACGUUGAGGCCCGAAAGCGUGGGGAGCAAACAGGAUUAGAUACCCUAGUAGUC